GAAAAGGCACGAGAUCGGUCUCUUUAUGGGCUCAUCGAGUGAUGCUGGGAGAAGACAGAGUGUUUCCCUGCUUACCCGAGCCGAGACGUUUCCAAUACUGUUUCAGGGUGUUGUUUUUGUUUUUGUUUUUGGUUUUGUUUUUCCAUUAUAUUCCCCUUUACUACAUUUCCCUUUAACUGCGUGUCCCGCUAAUCUUUUCCUCCAGAUUCACAUAAUUCAACCCAACGCAUUUCCAAGACGAUUCCCAGCGUUACCAGACUCUGUGCUCGGGAAACCUGAGCAGCCCCGAGUGUAACAGGAAACGGCGUUAGCAUGAGAGAAUGGGGUCUGCUAUUGAGAUCCUGACCGUAAUUCACAGC
Molecule: long non-coding RNA, 359 nt
Organism: Gallus gallus (chicken)
Lineage: Eukaryota; Metazoa; Chordata; Aves; Galliformes; Phasianidae
Source: Ensembl